Transfer RNA from Pichia membranifaciens NRRL Y-2026, 82 nucleotides. It matches the Rfam family "tRNA". From Rfam's summary of the family: Transfer RNA (tRNA) molecules are approximately 80 nucleotides in length. Their secondary structure includes four short double-helical elements and three loops (D, anti-codon, and T loops). Further hydrogen bonds mediate the characteristic L-shaped molecular structure. tRNAs have two regions of fundamental functional importance: the anti-codon, which is responsible for specific mRNA codon recognition, and the 3' end, to which the tRNAs corresponding amino acid is attached (by aminoacyl-tRNA synthetases). tRNAs cope with the degeneracy of the genetic code in two manners: having more than one tRNA (with a specific anti-codon) for a particular amino acid; and 'wobble' base-pairing, i.e. permitting non-standard base-pairing at the 3rd anti-codon position. The record is from Rfam. Lineage: Eukaryota; Fungi; Ascomycota; Pichiomycetes; Pichiales; Pichiaceae.
GGCAAUUUGUCCGAGUGGUUAAGGAGAAAGACUUGAAAUCUUUUGGGCUCUGCCCGCGCAGGUUCGAGUCCUGCAGUUGUCG